GGAGGAAACUGGUCAUGAUGGAGUAUUCACAACGUGCCAGACCCCAAAUUCCACCUGAGGGAAUGCUUACCAAGCUAGAAGACCUGAAAGGAGUGUAUGAACACAGCUUUGGUUUGGUGAAGCUCUACCUCCUUAAGUGGAGCACAAAGAGAGGCUGUUCUCCCCAUUUCCAGCAGAUGCAUCGUGUGACUGUUGCAACGAACAGGCCCACAUCUGUGGUGAGAACCUACUUCUAAAUGCAGCAUGGCCUCACCGUAGGAGGCCCGGCAAAUUUCCUGUUUCAACCCUACUUGGCCUCACACAGCCACCUGCCUGCAAAAAGAAGUUGAUUCCUGCGGGAGGAGCCUGGCAGGCACCUGGCCUACCUGCCCGGAGGCGUGUCCUCUGCACCACGCGGCGCCCCCUUGCUCUUCCAAGCUAGGAUCCGGGCGUUCUUCCUCUCCUUCCUUCUUCCCUUUCUCCCUGUCUUCCU
Long non-coding RNA from Nyctereutes procyonoides (raccoon dog), 472 nucleotides. RefSeq lists it as uncharacterized. The record is from RefSeq and is a predicted model, not a curated record. The transcript is spliced from 3 exons. NCBI's taxonomy places the organism in Eukaryota, Metazoa, Chordata, Mammalia, Carnivora, Canidae.